RNAcentral lists this transfer RNA (74 nucleotides) under bacterium. RNAcentral's name for it is "tRNA-Arg". It matches the Rfam family "tRNA". Rfam says of the family: Transfer RNA (tRNA) molecules are approximately 80 nucleotides in length. Their secondary structure includes four short double-helical elements and three loops (D, anti-codon, and T loops). The record is from RNAcentral. RNAcentral also lists the same sequence under 1 other name.
GCCCUCGUAGCUCAGUUGGAUAGAGCGGUCGCCUCCUAAGCGACAGGCCACAGGUUCGAUUCCUGUCGAGGGCG